GUAGUCAUAUGCUUGUCUCAAAGAUUAAGCCAUGCAUGUCUAAGUAUAAGCAAUUAUACCGCGAAACUGCGAAUGGCUCAUUAUAUAAGUUAUCGUUUAUUUGAUAGUACCUUACUACUUGGAUAACCGUGGUAAUUCUAGAGCUAAUACAUGCUAAAAAUCCCGACUUCGGAAGGGAUGUAUUUAUUAGAUUAAAAACCAAUGCCCUUCGGGGCUCACUGGUGAUUCAUGAUAACUCCUCGAAUCGCAUGGCCUUGCGCCGGCGAUGGUUCAUUCAAAUUUCUUCCCUAUCAACUUUCGAUGUUUGGGUAUUGGCCAAACAUGGUUGCAACGGGUAACGGGGAAU
RNAcentral lists this ribosomal RNA (346 nucleotides) under Fusarium oxysporum. RNAcentral describes it as "SSU rRNA". It matches the Rfam family "Eukaryotic small subunit ribosomal RNA", at positions 20 to 370 of the family's 1831-position model. Lineage: Eukaryota; Fungi; Ascomycota; Sordariomycetes; Hypocreales; Nectriaceae. The record is from RNAcentral.